RNAcentral lists this ribosomal RNA (301 nucleotides) under uncultured bacterium. Its description in RNAcentral is "partial 16S ribosomal RNA". It matches the Rfam family "Bacterial small subunit ribosomal RNA", at positions 509 to 808 of the family's 1533-position model. The record is from RNAcentral.
CAGUAGCCACGGAAUACGGAGGGUGCAAGCGUUAAUCGGAAUUACUGGGCGUAAAGCGCACGCAGGCGGUCUGACAAGUCAGAUGUGAAAUCCCCGGGCUUAACCUGGGAACUGCAUUUGAAACUGUCAGGCUGGAGUCUUGUAGAGGGGGGUAGAAUUCCAGGUGUAGCGGUGAAAUGCGUAGAGAUCUGGAGGAAUACCGGUGGCGAAGGCGGCCCCCUGGACAAAGACUGACGCUCAGGAGCGAAAGCGUGGGGAGCAAACAGGAUUAGAUACCCGCGUAGUCCCUGUCUCUUAUACA